UUUGAUUUUUAUCGUUGCUAAAGCUGAAUAAUGGUGUUACGAGCCAUGUUAGAUUGACAAUCCAUAUUGGACCUUUAGCGUAUCAAGUAUGAAACGCAAAUGGGCUUGAGCUGAAGUCCAAAGCAUGAGAAAGCAUUUCUGAGAUAGCAUGACAACUUGUGUACAAACUGCUAAAUAGGCUCAAAAGGACCGGGCCCAAAAGUGAGUGAGUCCAAAUGACUCCAAACCCAUGCACCAAUUUAACCUUACCCUAACCAUUUCGAGUUAAGAUUUUGGGCUUCCGAAUGUGCCCAGCACACACAAUUUCAGCAAAUCACAUUUGUAGUACUGUAAAAAAACUUAAUUUGGUAUAGGAAUUUUAAACUAAUAGCUACAUAUCCAUAUGAAUCAAUGAUUGGAGACAAUAUUAAUAUCCCUCCCCCUGAUGAUUAUCACAACAUAAUCAGUUGUAGUGGAACUAAGAAGGAACAACGAAAUAAUAGUAAAAAUGAAUUAUUAUAACAUUGUUCAUCCUAAUAAAAUCAAUACUACAACUUCUUUUACAGCUUAAUCUGACUUUACCACACGUAAACAUAAUUACUCCAAGCUCGAAAACUCCUGGGUUGAAUAUCAACAAUUAUCAUGGAAGACAUUUGUUAUCAGAAAUGAGUAGGCUACUGCAAUUUUAGCAUGUUAUAUGGAAUUUUAGGCAUACAAUGAGUAGGAAAAUUAAAAAAUAACACAGUAUAUUCAACUUAUCACUCAAAAAUAGAUUUCAAACAAUAAUCAAACAAACACAACUUGAGGGAUAUCAAAUAAAUUAGCAACAAUGAAAAUCAAAGCAAUUAACAACUUUGUGCUUCAAAUAAACCACAUUUCCAUUAUUUGAUCGAGAAUGGUACCUGGCUUACAACAUAAUAGACAAAAAGAAAAUAAAUCUCUGAAGUUGGGAAGGAGUAACAUGAAGAACAAACAUAGUAGCAGAAAACAACAUACAACAGCUUUAAACCUUACUCCCAAAACUCCAAAAUAGAACCAAUGGAACUAUGUUGAUGAAUUCUGAUUCCUACUUUCAGAAUAUUUUUUGUGAGAAGAAACAAGUGAGGGUGAGUGUUGAUUCUCUGAUAAUAUAGAAAAAAUAAAAGUGUAUGCAGAUUGAGAGUAAUGAAAAAUUCUCCGAAGAAAUGUCAAAAUCUGUGUGUGUGUUGUGUAGAGAGUCAAGGAAUAUAUAGGAGACUGUCAACCGUAAAAAUAGAACAAAAAUAUCUUUUUCAAUCGAUUUUUAUACAAAUGUCACUUUUUAGUUAUUCUUUCAUCCUUUUUAAACCUUAGUAUUUUUUGUAUUCACUCUUCAGCCCUAACACCUGGCCACCUUAUUUUCUUUCUUUGCAAAUUGGCCCCUCCUAGAAGCUUCCUAAAUAACUAAACAAGAUUCCCUACUUUUGGUAUACCCUUUAGCCCCUUCAAUUCCUGUAUUUACUAUUUAUUUCAGAUUUAAAACCUAAAAGCAGACUAAGACUUAGAUCCUAGUUAAAACGAGCAAAUGUUAAACAUAACUGAUUAAGAAAUUACUAAUUAAUUAAGACAGAACAUUGGCAUUUAAUUAAUUUCUAAGAAAACAAAAUGCGAUUUAAACUACCAAUUUUGCCUAAACAUCAUGAUUAAGGACUAACAAAAUCACUGAUAACCUACCUCUAAAUAAAUUUGAGUCUUGACCAAAUGAAUUUCAAAAUACAAAUACAACUUGCCAAUAUUAACAAUUUAAAUCAAUCAACCAAAUGAGUUCAAUCGAAGAAAUUAAUCCUAAGUAAAACCUAAACAAAGUGAUAGAUCCACGAAAAACAAAAAUUUCUAACCUAAUGCAAAUAUCUCAAAAGUGGGGAGAGGAUGAAAAAGAGAUUACCUAUUGAAGCUCUAUUAAUAUGGUAGAGAAAACCUUCCAGAAGAAUUGGCCGGCCAACAGCCAGCUAACUAAAACGUGACUUCCGAGAAAUGGGAUGAAACUCACAUCAGUGGACAUCUCUUGUAAAGAGCUUUCUGCUAAUGUGAGUCUCAACCAUAAAAGAGGACGGAUUGUUUGAGGUCAUGAAGACAGAUUGCAUGGCAGCUAGGGUUUGGUUUUGAGAUUUGAAAUUUGAGAGAUUAAGUGAGUUUUUAGCAAAAAUUAACAGUGGGAUAGUCAUGGGGAGAUGAUAGAGAGAUUGUAUGGUGGGAGUUUGGGUGGAUUUGGGGUUGUGCACUGGUAGGGGUGGUGGUAGGCAGCUAGGGUUUGAAAGGAUUUGACAAAAGAGGAAAUUAAGGGCUUCUAUAGGGUUAGGGGUAUUCGGACAGAUAUAAGGGAAGGGGGAGGUCAGUUCUGGACCGUAGGAUCAGAUUAGAUGAAUGGCCAUGAUCAUCUGUGACCAAAACGGCGUCAUGUGGAUUUGGAAGGGGUCUAGGCCAGGUAAUGGGAGUGGGUUGGACGGGUUUGAGGGAAUUUGGGCCGCCUGAAGCUGGUCUAAUUUCGGAAUCUUAAGAAAACAAGCCCCAUUGCUCUUCAUUUAACUUUAAAUGACCGAAUUGACAAUUAAACUAAUUUAAAUAAAAAAUUUAACUAUUUAAUUACCAACAUGCCAAAGAAAUUAGCUAAAUUAUUUUUGUAAUUUUCAUUUAUUAACCAUGCAAUUAAUAUGUGAUUAAAUCCUAAAAAUGCAAUAAAAUCUAAAAUACAACAAGUGAAAGAUUAAAAAAAUAUUUUUUGAUGAUUUUUUAGGAUUUUAAAAUAUCUCUAAAUAUGAAUACAACUAAAUGCAAAUAAUGUAAACACACAAAUAAAGAGGAAUUUCUAAAAAUUCUAAGAAUCAAAAGACACCAAAAAAAAAGAAUUAUUUAUUUUUUGGAUUUUUAAGAGUAAUUGGAAGAAAAAGUCAAAUGCCCAUAAAGGCAAAAUAAAGUUGAAAAAGGUUAAGUCCUACACGACCAAACGUCAUGGCAAAGUUUAGAGAAGACAAAGGUUCUCCGGGGCCAAAACUGCAAUCAGUAUCCAGGAAACAACCAGUUGCAGUCGAAAGUAUCAUCAAAGAAGCCGGGACAAGAUCAAGUGACUGAAGCAUUCAAGGCCACAAACCAACCACUGUUUUUAAACUGACAAAAUGUUCUUUGUUUGAAAAACAGGAAACAAGUGCAAUCCAAAGCAACCUUGCAAGAAGCAGGUGCAACCAAAAGAAGCGGCACAGAGACUAAAAUAACUCUACAGCAGAAACAACUCCAAAAAAGGAAGUCUUCUCCAAAUUCUUUUCAGUAUUUUACUCAUUCUCUUAAUGGAAAAAAGAAAGAAAAGAAAAGAAAGAAGUUUAAAAUCAUGUUAGUAUAGGGUCUCCAAUCCUUAGUUGCAUUUUCUAACAUAGGGUCUCCACUCCCUAGUUAAUUUUAUUUUUAGCUAUAGGGUCUCCACUCCCUAGUCUUCUUUUCUAACAUAUGGUCCCCACUCCUUAGUUGAUGUUAUUUUAGAUAUAGGGUAUCCACUCCCUAGUCUUCUUUUCGAUCAUAGAGUUUCCACUUCCUAAUUGACGUUAUUUUAGACAUAGGGUCUCCACUUCCUAGUCUUCUGUUCCAACAUAGGGACUUCACUCCCUAGUUGAUUUUAUUUUUUGACAUAGGGUCUCCACUCCCAAAUUGAUGUUAUUUUAGACAUAGGUUCUCCACUCCCUAGUCUCCCUUUCCAACAUAGGGUCUCCACUCCCUCGUUGAUAUUAUUUUAGACAUAGGGUCUCUACUCCCUAGUCUCCUUUUCCAACAUAGGAUCUUCACUCCCUAGUUGAUGUUAUUUAAGACAUAGGGUCUCCAUUCCCUAGUCUUCUUUCCAAAAUAGGGUCUCCAUUCCCUAGUUGAUGUUAUUUUAGAUAUAUGGUCUCCACUCCCUAGUCUCCUUACCAGUGUAUGGUACACCAAUCCCUAGCUGUGUUUUCCAACUUAAGGUACAUGAAUCCCUAGUUGAGGCACCAUUUUGGCAAUCGGGGUACUACAUUUCCAAAUAAUCAUGUUUUCCCAAGGCACACCAAUCCCGACCUUUUAUUGCUUUCAAUAAUAAAGUUGUAUAGAGUUUUGUUACAAAUAACUCAAGAAAUUUUUCUAGUGAAAACUGGGGAAGAAAAUUUUUAUUCAUUUGUUUGUUUUGGGUCUGAGCAGGUUUUACUUCGAGGCAUGUGGUUUCAGACAACUAGAAGAAGAAGCCUCAAUCCAGAAUAAAUGAAAAGAACAAAAAGGAGUAAAUCCAAAAUGCAGAAGUAGAUUAAAAGAUGUGGACAACUCAAGACAUGACUGAAGUCGUGAACAUUGCAUUUCCAAUUUUGAUCAGAAAAAUCCUUAGAAGAAUGAACUAACACAUACAAUUAGCAAGCAUCAAGGUUCAGAUCAGAGUCUGCAUGAAGAACCGGUCAAGACUCAAGAUGAAGUUUCAGAAGACCUACAGAUAUGAAUCUUGUAACUCAUGGCUGAUAGCUUGUUUAGCUUCUCUCCAUUUCCGAUUUUUGUGUAAUAAGGAGUUCAGCAAGCAGCAACAGUAGCAACAACGGUGAAAUCACAACCUCUCGGUAUUCCCAGCUACCAAAAUUUCCAGAACUACACUGACCUGAUUUCUUUAUAGCCAAGGAUAUGUAGGCAACCUUCGGAGUAAGGUUCAGUCAAACCUUUUCAAAAUGCUUCCAAAUGAAGUAUCAAACAGGCAAAAAUUGUUCAUGAUUUCUCACUUUAUCUUUGUCUGAAAACUCUUCAUGUUCUCGAGCAAAGAGGGACAGCUGUGAGCACAGAUUGAUUGAAAACAAUUGAAAAGUACUUGGGUAAAAAGAAUUUGAAUUGAAUUACAACUUUGGAACCUUCAGGCGAAACCAUCGUCGAACCAUUAUAACGUCUGAAAUAGUUUCAACUUUUGGGGGAAUAUGAAUUUUUGUUUUGGUGUGACUGAAGCCAGAGAGAGGCUGCCUACGUAUCCUUUGGGAAUCAAGUCGAACGUAGUUCAAGGAACUUUGUUUUGAUUUUCUUUUCUUUUGUUUCCUUUUCUUUUAAUUUUUUCAUUCAUUAUUUUUUUUUUUGAAUUUAAUAAUAACUUCCAAGUUCUAAAGAGGGUAAUCAAAGAAAGGGAACCGGCUCAACGGGUUUGCAAAGUUUGAUAGUGUUUGGAUAGCGAGAAAGAAAGCCUUCGUCAUCCCAAUCGGAUCUUAUUAAAGCUAUGCAAAAAUGGUUAAACGUAAUACCUUUUUACCGUAUCUACAGUGACAGCUAUCUCGGGGUCAUGAUUUCCUUUGAUCUCUCCCAAAUACAACGCUCCCUACAGCAACACUCUUCUUAUAAUGUACGGACCUUUCCAAAUUGGAACAAAUUUUCCUUUGGCUUCUUCGUGAUGUGGGAGAAUACGUCUCAGAACGAGUUGACCCACUUCAAAUUUUCUGGGCCGCACUUUCUUGUUGUAGGCACGGGCCAUUCUUUGUUGGUACAACUGCCCAUGGAAAACUGUGGCCAUCUAUUUUUCAUCAAUCGUAGUCAAUUAUUCCCACCGGGUUUUGACCCAUUCAUCAUCCUCGAUCUCGACUUCAACAAUGAUACGAAGAGAAGGAAUCUCAACUUCUGCAGGUAUCACGGCCUCAGUGCCAUAAACCAGUAAGUAGGGUGUGGCCCCAACUAAUGUGCGCACGAUUGUGCGAUAUACCAAUAGUGCAAAAGGCAACUUUUCAUGCCAUUUUCUAGAACCCUGCACCAUUUUCCUGAAGAUCUUCUUGAUGUUCUUGUUUGCGGCUUCAACGGGCCAUUAGCUUUGGGCCGAUAAGGAGUAGAAUUGCGAUGAUUAAUUUUAAAUCGUUCGUGUACUUCCCUCAUCAAGUGGCUGUUUUGAUUUGCAACAUUAUCUGUAAUUAUAGUUUUAGGAAUACCAUAACGACAAAUAAUGUUAGAAUGCAUGAAGUCCACCACUGUUUUCUUGGUGACGGCUUUGAAAGUGACCGCUUCGACCCACUUUGUGAAAUAAUCGAUGGCAACCAAGAUGAAUUAGUGCCUAUUUGAAUCUUUCAACUUAAUUUGCCCAAUAACAUCCAUGCCCCAGGCUACGAACGACCAAGGUGCUGACAUAGGAUGUAACCCUGAAGGCGGUGCAUGAAUUAGGUCACCGUGUAUCUGCCACUGAUGGCAUUUUAAAAUGAAACUAAAACAAUCUUUUUCCAUGGUCAUCUAGUAAUAACCUUCCCAGAGGAUUUUCUUUGCAAGGACAUACUCAUUCAUAUGAGGCCCAUGCAGUCUCGAACGCACUUCGUUAAUGAUCUUUUUAGCUUCUCGGGAAUCUACGCACCCCAAAAGGUUUAGAUCUGGAGUUCUUUUGUAUACGACCUCUCCACUCAAAAAGAAACUACUUGCAAGACUUCUGAUAGUUCUCUUAUGAUCCCCGCCAACCUGCUCGGGAUAUUCUUUUAUUUUCAAGAAUCUUUUGAUAUCGCGAUACCAUGGUUGGACAUCUGGCUCUAUUUCAAUUGCGUUAUUCCUUUCUCGAACCUGGAUUUCGACAUGAACACUACCUGUGUAUGGCAGCAUUGAGGCCAAAGUAGCUAGUGCAUUAGCUAACUUAUUGUGGAAUCGAAAAAUAUACUUGAACUCGAUGGACUUGAGCCGUUUGCUGAGAUCUUCCACAUGUUUCAUGAACGAGAUGAGUUUUCUGUCUCGAGUUUCCAACUUACCUUGGGCUUAACGAAUGAUAAAUCAAUAUCCCCCAUGAUUAAUAAUUCCUUUACAUCCAGAUCAAUAGCCAUAUUCAUGCCCAUAAUGAAGGCUUCAUAUUCGGCGAUGUUUUUUAUACAGAAAAAUCGGAGAUGGGCUGUGGCCAGAUAGUGACCUGUGGGAGAAAUCAGAAUUUCCCCAAUCGCCAUGCCUUUUGCAUUUACGGCCCCAUCGAAGAACAUUUUCUAGGAAUUGAUGUUCUCUAGGAUCAUUUUAACCAAGUUUACUUCCUCGUCCAGAAAGUAAGUGCUUAGGGGUUGGUAUUCAUCAUCGACCAGGUUCUCAGCUAGAUGAUCCGCCAGGGCUCUGGCUUUAAUAGUCGUACGAGUGACAUAGACAAUAUCAAACUUAGUGAGCAGGAUCUGCCAUUUUGCUAACUUUUCCGUGGGCAUCGGCUUCUGGAAUAUAUACUUCUAAAGAUCCAUCUUGGUUAUGAGUUCUGCCGUGUAGGCCAGCAAGUAAUGUCUGAGCUUCUAGGCAACUCAAGUUAGGGCACAACAAGUUCUUUCCAACAAAGUAUACUUGGCUUCAUAACUGGUGAACUUCUUUCUCAGAUAAUAUAUGGCUUGCUCUCUCUUCCCGAUUACAUCGUGUUGCCCCAAGACACAGCCAAAAAAAAUUUCUAGGACUGUUAGAUAUAAGAACAAAGGCCUUCCAGGCUCGGACGGAACCAACACUGGUAGAUUUGAUAGGUAUUCUUCGAUUUUAUCAAAAGCUUUUUGGCAUUCCUCUGUCCUUUUAAUUGCCGCAUCUUUCUUCAAUAGCUUUAAUAUGGGCUUAUAAGUGGUAGUAAGUUGGGCGAUGAACUUGCUGAUAUAAUUCAAUCUCCCUAACAGACUCAUAACCUCUUUCUUGCUUUUCGGAGGUGGCAAAUCUCGAAUAAACUUUAUCUUUGUCGGAUCUAAUUCAAUACCCAUUCGACUGACUAUAAACCCCAGGAGCUUCCUAGUCGGAACUCCAAAUGGACACUUAGCUGGGUUUAAUUUCAAAUCAUACCUGACAAAAACGCUUAAAGAAUUUCCUUAGAUCUCGUACAUGGCCUUCUUGCAUUCUGGAUUUAAUGAUUACAUCAUCCACAUAAACUUCAAUCUCCUAAUGCAUCAUGUCAUUGAAGAUGGUAGUCAUAACUCUUAUGUAGGUUGCCCCGGCUUUUUUCAGACCAAAUGGCAUGGCCCUGUAAUAGUAAGUGCCCCAGGGUGUGGUAAAAGAAGUCUUUUUUGCGUCUUCUUCAUCCAUCAGAACCUGAUGAUACUCAUCAUAACAUUCUACGAAAGACUGUAUCUCAUGUUUAGCACAGUUGUCAACAAGAAUGUGGAUGUUUGGUAGUGGAAAGUUGUCCUUGGGACUCGCCUUUUUCAAAUCACGGUAAUCAACAUACACUCGGGUUUUUCCAUUUUCUUCGGCACUGGAACCACAUAAGGGUGUUCAAAACCGAACCGAAACUGAAAAUCGAAGCUUAAUGGCUUAUUGGUAUUGGGUUAACGAUNNNNNNNNNNNNNNNNNNNNNNNNNNNNNNNNNNNNNNNNNNNNNNNNNNNNNNNNNNNNNNNNNNNNNNNNNNNNNNNNNNNNNNNNNNNNNNNNNNNNNNNNNNNNNNNNNNNNNNNNNNNNNNNNNNNNNNNNNNNNNNNNNNNNNNNNNNNNNNNNNNNNNNNNNNNNNNNNNNNNNNNNNNNNNNNNNNNNNNNNNNNNNNNNNNNNNNNNNNNNNNNNNNNNNNNNNNNNNNNNNNNNNNNNNNNNNNNNNNNNNNNNNNNNNNNNNNNNNNNNNNNNNNNNNNNNNNNNNNNNNNNNNNNNNNNNNNNNNNNNNNNNNNNNNNNNNNNNNNNNNNNNNNNNNNNNNNNNNNNNNNNNNNNNNNNNNNNNNNNNNNNNNNNNNNNNNNNNNNNNNNNNNNNNNNNNNNNNNNNNNNNNNNNNNNNNNNNNNNNNNNNNNNNNNNNNNNNNNNNNNNNNNNNNNNNNNNNNNNNNNNNNNNNNNNNNNNNNNNNNNNNNNNNNNNNNNNNNNNNNNNNNNNNNNNNNNNNNNNNNNNNNNNNNNNNNNNNNNNNNNNNNNNNNNNNNNNNNNNNNNNNNNNNNNNNNNNNNNNNNNNNNNNNNNNNNNNNNNNNNNNNNNNNNNNNNNNNNNNNNNNNNNNNNNNNNNNNNNNNNNNNNNNNNNNNNNNNNNNNNNNNNNNNNNNNNNNNNNNNNNNNNNNNNNNNNNNNNNNNNNNNNNNNNNNNNNNNNNNNNNNNNNNNNNNNNNNNNNNNNNNNNNNNNNNNNNNNNNNNNNNNNNNNNNNNNNNNNNNNNNNNNNNNNNNNNNNNNNNNNNNNNNNNNNNNNNNNNNNNNNNNNNNNNNNNNNNNNNNNNNNNNNNNNNNNNNNNNNNNNNNNNNNNNNCUCCACUGCUUUAUCAACUUUGCCUGGGUUUUAAGGCAUCCUAGAAUUCUAAGUGUGAUGAACAUUUGUUUUAACAACGGCCAAUUGAAAAUCUUUCACAUGGACUAAGAUCAAUGUGCAUAAACAUAAAUAAGAUUCUAGACAGAUAAUUUACCCAUCACAGUGUCUCUUUUGCUUCGUCCCUCUUAGUACAUCGACCACCUAUUUAAACAUAUAGAGACUAAAUUUUAUUUUAUUUUGAUUGAAUUAGGCUGAUAAACUGCCCGAUAAUAGUUAAACCAAUACCAAUUCGCCCGAUAUCUUAUCGGGUGGCUAGCGGAUUAAUACAUUUAAAAGCCGAUAACCGAUAAGCCAAACCGUUAAGAUUAAAUAAUCCGCCCGAUAAGUAGCCUUAGAACCACAUAAGGUAGCCUUGUGAUGUAUCGGACCACUCGGAUCACACCGGCUUUCAAUUGUUUCGUGACUUCUUCCACGAUCUUAUCACUAAUGUUGGUUUUGAACUUUCUUUGCUUCUGUUGGACGGAUAGAUAACCGGGAUAGGUAGUGUAAUGACCCGAUCAGUCGUUCCGAGAGUUUGAGCCCCGGUUUCCCCAUUUCUACUUCUUAUUGCCUUGUUCAGUUGUAUUAUAUUCUAUGGUAUCGGGUUAGCCGGUUCGAAUCCGAAAUGGUUUUGGUAAGGUUUGAGACACUUAGUCUCUAAAGUUAGCCUUUGAGUUGGAAAGUCAACCGGAAGUUGACUUGUGAGCAUUCGAUCUCGGAAUUUGGUUUUUAUGAUUUGGAUAGCUUCGGGAGGUGAUUUGGGACUUAGGAGCAUGAUCGGAAUGUGUUUUGGAGGUCCGGAGUAGAUUUAGGCUUGAAUUAGCGAAAUUGGAAUUUUGGUGCUUUCCGGUUGAUAUAAGAGAUUUUGAUAUAGGGGUCGGAAUGGAAUUCAAUAAAUUGGAGUAGGUCUGUUGUGUCAUUUGGGACGUGUGUGCAAAAUUUCAGAUCAUUCGGACAAGGUUUGAUAGACUUUUUUAUCAAGAGCAAAAUUUGAAAGUUUUUGGAAAUCUUAGGCUUGAAUCUGAUGUCAUUUUGUUGAUUCGAUGAUGUUUUAGGUGUUUUGAAGGUUGGUAUGGGUUUGGAUAGUGGCAUAUGACUUGUUCAUACUUUUGGUUGAGGUCCCAAGGGCCUUGGGGUGAUUUCGGAUGGUUGACUGGGGAUUUGGAGUUUGAGAUUUGUAGCUGAAGCUGCUGAGCCACUGGUAUAACCGCACCUGCGGCUUGGGGAUCGCAGCUGCGGGACCGUAGAAGCAGAAGGCUAGCUACAAAUGCGGAAGUUGGUGUAAAGGGCUGAAGCGCAGGUGCGGAUGGUUUGGUCGAACCUGCGAGACCGCAUGUGCGGAAGGUGAGGCGCAGGUGCGGACUUCUGGUUUUAAGUGAAAAUAGCAGAUGUUAUUCUUUGAACGCAGAUGCGGUACCGCAGGUGCGAUGUAUGGACCGCAGGUGCGAAAAGCUAUGUCAGAAUGUAUAAAAGGUUCCCUUCACGAAUUUUUGGUUAUUUCACUAUUUCUAAGACGGCUUUGGAGUUUUUUGGGAGAAUUUGAAGAGAUAAUUCAUGGGAACUUCAUUGAGGUAAGAUUUUUGAACAUUAAACUCAUUCUGAUGGUGUUAUUUCAAUGAUUAGGCUUGAAAUUUAAGGAAACUUUGUGGGUAAAUAUUGAAGAAACUAUGGCUUGAGAUUGGAGACCUUUGAUUAGGGAAUUGAGGGGUCAUUUGUUGUCGGAUUUUGGCAUUCUUGGUAUGUAUGGACUCGUGGGAGGAUAAGGAGUCUAUUGAUGUAAAUUUUAUCGGAUUUAGAGACGUGGGCCCGGGGGUCAGGUUUGGUCAAUUUCGAGAUUUGGGUUGUAAUUUGAUUAUUUUCACAUGGUCUUCGUCCCCUUAGCAUAUUUUGACGUCAUGAUUUUGAUUUUAGAUAUAUUUGACGCGAGUUGAGGUCAAGGCAAGAGGCAAGGGCAUUGCGGGCUAGAGUUUGGACCGGAUAGAGGUAAGUAAUGAUUGUAAUUAUUUGUCCUGAGGGUAUGAAACCCCGGAUUUCACAUCUUUAAGUCGUGUGUUUGAUUGAAAACUGUUUGAUAUCCUUGUGUUUUGGAAAUUAUUACCAUGUUAUGGGGCUGAAUGGUAUAUUUGGGCUUCGUGCCAACUAUUUUGGACCCUUAGGGGAUUUUUACUACUAUUCCUCACUGUUUUGACUUCAUAUUUAUACUCAGCCACACCAUAUUCUACUGUUUUCAUAAAUAAGCCAUAUUUACUCCAUUUUGAUAUUUUAAAUGAUAUUUUGGGCUGAGCAUCAUGUUUUACUAUUGCCCGAGUGGCACGAGAGAUUUCUGACUAAGUGAGGCUGAGGGCUUGUGUUGUGAGGAUAUUAUGGGAUCAGGUUGCGCGCCGCAGCAAUGUGGUAAUGAUUUAUGAUUAUGAGGCCGAGGGCCUGAUUUGUUACGCCAUGAGGUGGCUUGAUAUGAGGUCGAGAGCCUGUUUGAUUAUGCCAUGAGAUGGCUUAUUAUUGCGCUUGGGCCGUAAGGGGCCCCUCCCGGAGUCUGUACACCCCCAGUGAGCGCGGGUACCCAAUGUGAGUGAUAUGAUGCAGCUUGAGGGGCUAUUGUUGUUUCAUAUUGUUGCUAGAGAGGCUGUUCUUGAUCCGUGUUUGCCCGAGGGGUGGUUCUUGAUUCAUGUUAUGCCUGAGGGGCUGAUUACGAGUGAUUGUGAGGUAGUCUGAGGGGAUGAUUAUGUUCAUAUUAUGCCCGAGAGGCGGUUUAUGGUACAUGUUUUUCCUGAGGGGCUGUUUACAUUUUCUAUCAUGAUACUCACUAUUUUAUCACUCGUUUGAAACCAUUAAAAGUUGUUUUAAAAAGAUUUUUACUGAAACUGAGCUUGAUUUACGAGGUAAAUGAUUUGUGUACUGCUUUGGAAAUGAUCUACAUUUGUUGUAGUGUUAUGACGUGGUUUAUGUGUUUCUUACUGCUCAACUUUCAUUUGCUUUUAUUACUUACUGAGUUGGCAUACUCACAUUACUCCCUGCACCUUAUGUGCAGAUUUAGGCAUUUCUGAACCCGGUAGCGGGUGUUGAUUGCUUAGUGGCAGAGUCAGCGGAGUUAGUGAGGUAACUGCUCGACGUUCACAGCACUGCUUUUCUUCCUCUUGUCUUCCUUAGACUGUAUUUAGUACAUUUUCAGACUCUUUGUUUUAUUCAGACCUUAGUAGAUGCUCGUGACUUGUGACACCCUUAUGUCGAGCUUGUGUAUUAUUUUCGCACUGUUCAUUUAGACUUCCAUUAUGAGAUAUCUGAUUAAUUAAAGGCUUAAAAUGAUUGUUAUUGAUUAAAUGGUUAAUUCGGGAGUUGUGUCAGCUGGCCUGGUUUCCCGAUAGGCGCCAUCACGACCGGGUCGGUUUAGGGUCAUGACAGGUAGGCAGUUUAUGUAGCACCAAAUCAAUGCUCAGCCCUAGCAUAUCAUCAUAGGACCAUGCAAACACGUCUUUGAAUUCAAACAAAAGUUGGAUCAAGGCUCUCUUGUUCUUUCAUCAGCGUGAAUGCUUAUCAUGGUUUCUCGGAUCUCUUCCGAACUGCCCAAAUUAACUGGCUCGAUUUCAUUUAAGUUUGACUUAGGCAUAUUCUCAAAUUAUUCCAAUUCUCGAUUUAUUUCCCUAAGGGCCUCAUCUUCAUCAUAUUCCAUGUCUUGAUUCAUUAUUUUAAAGUGAGACAGCAUUUUAGGAUCUGAGCAUGAAGUCCGCAAGCAUGUCAUGUUAUUUAAGUCCACAUUAUUAGAACUUCAAAGAAAAAGAUAAGAAAAAUAACAAAAUCAGAACAAAGCAAAAGAGACAUCUAAGGAAGAUGAAAUGUUGAAUCCAUUUCAUUGAAUUUGAAAGAUAAGAGGGUUUACAUCUGAAGCAAAAGACAAUAAAGUAAAACAUUAGAGUUACACCCUGAAAUAACUCGUAACAUAGAAGAGAUGGCAAAACUGAACUAUCGGGAUUCCCGCCUGACAGGGAAUGGGGUAGCCUCCCAAUUCUGGAGAUUGAAAUCUGGUCCCAUAUACUGCACCUCGACAUUAUUCAUGCGUUUCUUUGGCUGGACCAUGUGGGACUCAUAUAGCAUUUGUUUUAAGGCUUCACAGAUAUCAUCGAUUUCCUCGGCCGUGAAGGCCUAUUUGUCUUCUUCCGCAUACUUUGGUUUGAAAAAUGAUUAGGCGAGAUGUGAAAUGGGCUGGGACAGGACCCACACUUUUUCUUUGCGUUCAUUAGCCCAUGUUUGUCGGCCUCUGUAGCUCGAAAACCCACACCGAAUCACUUCUCAUUGGUGAUUGAGGUAAUAGGCUCAGUGAUGCCCUGCAAAGAUACUCUGAGCCCCUUUCUGGGCUUGUACCCAUUUCUAAUCAUUUGGGUGGCGACCAUGACUGAAGCAUUAGACAGGCAAGGUUAAGGUAAUGAAGCCCCUUCUUCAAAUUGGUCAGCGACCACAAUUUCGAAAGCUUGGUACACAAUAUGAUCAUUACCUUCUCUAGCUUCAAGACACGGAACCGAAGGGUCCCGGUAGAUGGAUUGCUCAUCUUCUCCAUGGAAAACAAUCUCUUUAUUAUCAUAUUCAAACUUAACCAUUUGGUGAAGAGUGGAGGGAACAGCUCUGGCAGCAUGAAUCCGUGGUCUACCCAGGAUGAAAUUGUAUGAGGUUUUCAUGUCCAAAACAUGGAAGGUUACCUCAAAAUCUAUAGGUCCAAUAGUUAGAAUCAGAUCAAUUUCUCUUAUUGUGUCUCUCUUGACCCCAUCAAAAGCUCGUACGCAGACGUUGUUAGCUCGAAUUCUUUCUGUUGCAAUCUCUAUUCUCUAGACUGUUGAGAUAGGGCAAAUGUCUACCACGCAGCCACCAUCUAACAUCACUCUUUUCACAUAAUAGUCCUCACAUUUGACAGUUAGGUGAAGGGCUUUGUUGUGGGCAUCUCCCUCUCGGGACAAAUCAUCAUGGCUAAAGGAAAUCUUGUUGACCUCAAAAAAUCUUUCGGCCAUUCUUUCCAAUUGUUCGACAGAAGUAUCAACCGGGACAUAUGCUUCAUUCAGUAUUUUGAGGAGCACUUUCUGGUGUUCAUCCAAACUCAGCAGCAAAGAUAAGAGUGAGACCUUGGAAGGAGUCUUACGGAGUUGGUCAAAUAUUGAGUAUUCUGAAGUUUUCAUCUUUCUGAAUAAUUCUUCUUCCUCAUUGCUUACAGUUUUCUUGGAUUGCAUCCAUUUAUUCCUGUUCAGUUUGGACUUUUUCAGCUCUUCUAGGGUAUGAUACCUCCGAGACCGAUUCAUCUCGUUCAUUUCUCCCAUAACAUUUUUUUCCUUUUUAUGUAACCACUGUUCUGUUGUAGUUACAAGGAACUGAAAUAGGAUCUUUCAUAGGACUCUGUGUUACAAGGCUGAUAAACAUGGGCUCAGUCAGCCUUGAUGGAAUUAUCGGCCCCCACGCCACAUAGGUCCCCUUUGGUACAUAUAAUCUUAGAACAUUCAAUGUAGCCUUCCUUUCAUCGAAUUUCUUGGGAAUGUUGAGGAUAAGCUGUUCUUUUCUUGGGGCCUUAGGAACAUAUAGAUGGAGCUUGAAGUUUGGUUGUGAUUAGCCAAACCCCCUGAAUCAUUAUAGAUGGCUUGAGAGAUAGCUUUCAAGGCAGCUUGACUCAAUAUCCGGCCAAGUUUCAGACCUUUCUCUACCAUCUCCCCAAUCUUGAUGGUGUCAGCAAAUGGCUUACCCAUAGCGGACAUCAUAUUUUGGAAGUAAUCAGCCUUUUGGGCCUAUAGGAAGACUAUAACCAUUUCUGCUUCGUCCCUCAGAGGUUUUACUAUGGCGGCUUGCUCGCGCCAUUUGAUAGCAUACUCGGAGAAACUUUUCGCAGUUUUCUUCUUCAAAUUGGACAAGGAGUUUCUAUCAGGAGCGAUGUCCAUAUUAUACUAGAAUUGUCGAACAAAAUCUCGGGCCAAAUCAUCCCAUAUAUGUCAGUGGGUGAUUUCUUGAUCCAUGUACCACUCGCAGGAGAUUUUCGAUAAGCUUUCUAAGAAGUAGGCCAUCGGAAGCUCCUAUUUCCCACCAGCCCCUCUCAGUUGAUUGCACUAUCUCUUUAAAUGGGCGAUUGGAUCCCUGUGCCCGUCAUAUUUUUCAAACUUCAGCAUUUUGAAACCAGCAGGUAAAUAAACAUUGGGAAACAUGCACAAAUUCGAAUAGGAAACCCUUUUUUUUUUGCCGCUCAAGCCUUGCAUGUUUUUCAAGCUCUAUUCCAAGUUCUCAUCUUUUGAGCCAUUUUUUCCUGCUCGGGAUUUCUAAAUGUUCUUUCUUGCUCAAUUAGAGACUCAUACUGUGGUUGUUGGGCAUACGAGUCUAGAGUGACAUGAGUCACGUUAGGCUGAAAUUACGGACUUUUGAAGGUGAAUGUUAUUGGUUCAAAGCAUGGACUAGGCAUGGUUGGUUGUGCCAUGGUGAAGAUUGGUGAUGCGAAAAAUAGCGUUGAAGGUACCCCUGAAAACGAUGCAUGGGGGCGGACCUCAAAAGGCAUACCAGUAAAGUUGGAUGAUAUAUUAGGGUACCCAAAUGGGAUAAAUGGGUUGGUCAUAGGGAUGUUGGUGGUUCCACCCGUCCUUGGGAUCAGCUCAGGGAAUCAAGGGAUUGUACUUGGUGGUUCUCUACCAUUGGAACAGGCGUCCUCAUUUCCAACAUGCAGAGAUGUAGCCCAAGAUCGACAUUGCAGAGAUUGCUUUCUAAGGCUAUUGGAACCUUUCCUUUGGAUCUUGUAAAAUAGGGGUGAAAAGCCAGAUUACCGACAAAACCAACCACCUAACCAGAAUCUAGCUAAAAUGUACACACAACAACCUUGUUAGUUUUGAGACAUUUAACAAAUAGGGAACCGCACAUUGGGGAUGCAAUGCACUUGAACAGUCAAACGCUUCUAAAAUAUUUUUGCAACGGCUGCAUGUUUCAUCCCGGCUUUCACUAUCUCGUUUCCACCCUGUAAUCCUUUUCUUUCAUUUUCACGCUCUUUUUCUCUUUUGUUUUGUCAUUCCUGGUUUUCUCCUGUUGUUGUCACUCCUGGUUUUUCUUUCAAUUUUAUCACACUGUUCUUCCUUUUCUUUACUUAUUGUCCCUCAAUUUCCUCUCUUUUUUGUUGAUUAUCACUCAGAUUAAUUAUGGCUAUGAUUGCAUCCGAUAGGGAUUGCCUACGUAUCAAGACGUCGCAUGAAUCAGACAAUUACAUAGUUCAGGAGAAUAAAUGCAAAAAUAAAAGCAAAGAAAUUUUUGUGGUUUUCAAUAUUUCAUUAUAAAAUCUUUUUGGUUUUUCAUUACAAAAACUCAAAAAAAUUGAUAAUUGACUUAAAGAAAAACAUACAGACUCAAAAUAAAAUAGCAACAGACUCGACGCGAGGAAAAAGUAAAAUACAGACUCAAAGAUUGAACGAUCAAGAACACAGAUGAGACUCAAAUGUUAUUCCAGGGGCCCGAGUAGCUUCAGCUGGUCUCGGUGCAAGCCUGCUUGUAAGCUCUUCCUGAAGAAGCUCGAGGUCGGCCAUGACCUAGCGAGUGAAAGAUAGUACCGAAGUAAAGAACAUAGCUCAAGUCAUAUUUUCACACUCGUUGCAUUUCAUUGUUGUGUAGUCUUCUAUUUCCUUGAUUCUAAGCUUGAUAGCACCUUUCUCCUAGAGAAAUUGCCCAAUCUGUUGUUCCCGAACAUCCACUAUUUGCAUAGCCUCGUUGUUUUGGUUUUGCAAAAUCAACGUGCUUUCUUUCAAUCCGUUGAUCAAGGCAUAUCAAUGCUCCCUCUCUACCCUGAAGCUUUUCACUUGUUGACCUAUUUUGUUUUAAAAAAUGGCUAACUCUUUCCUUAAGAUCACGAUUUCUUUGUCAUAACUUUGCUUCACCUGGAAAGCUAGCCUUGUCUUUUCUUCAGCAUCUUUCCCCAGUUGGAUCAUCCUUGUGUGAGCUUUUGCCAAAUCUUUCUCGACCUUUGUCAGGUCGGCCGCAUAGUCAUGCACUUUUCAACUCAAGUUGCUCACGUUUUUUCAUCACUCUCACUCCUCACAGGAGUUUCAGCGGCUACUCUCAUCUCCCGAAGUUAUGCUCGGAGUGCCUCGUUCUCACGGGUCAGACUUUUCUUUUCACCUUCAGCCUCUUGCACAUGUAAGUCAUUCUUAAAUUUGAGGUUUCUCAGCUUUUCUUCUAAGGCACGAAUGGUUGCUUGGUAUCCCUUUUCCUUUUCUCCCCAGGCCAACUGUUCUCGGAUUUUAUCAUUAAAAGCCUGAACAUGAGGCCUUUUGGUAGGCUUCACGGGCUCGGGCUCGGGCUCAUCAUCAAUGCAAGACCUUUUCUCAAACCACAUAGCAUAACUUGGGUCUACCUCACCUCUUACAUGAUCUGGCACAUGGGUAUCAUCUUUCAAGUACCGGCAACCAUUCCAAAUUUGUUGGAUUAAAGUCUUGGGAAGUGGAGCUUCUAGGUGUAGUUCAAUGACUUGAACAUUCAAAUCUUCAUCCUGGGGCACCACUUGCUACCUUCCCAGUUGUCUUAGAACUCUCUGCAGCACAUACGAUUGGACACUUUUCAAAACCCAUAAGUAAUAGAUAACUUUUUAAAAGCCGACACGUGUAUCACUUCCCUUACCGGGAGCCAACCCAAAGUCCACUCAAUUUUACUUGUGUUCAAAUAUCUUAGGUGGGAUACCAAAGCUUCCACCCCUUCUGGAGAAUUGUAAUCUUUUACUUCUUCCUCGUAACUCUCGAUGAAGUUGUUCUUGUUUGGGCCAUAGCUCAUAAAUAUGGGGUGAUAAUGGAGAUGCUCAAUCAACCACAUUUGCAACAAAAUAUUGCACCUUCGAAGAACUUACUUUGCCCCGGAAUUACACAACGUCAAUGCCCGAUAAAUGUCUGACAGUAUAAUUGGAGCAAGCGCGUGAUUCUCUUUGGUAGUGAGGACUUGCGCAAUUCUGGCCAUGUGGAUAUCAAUUGUCCGCUCUUUAUUUGGGAAGACCAUAAUUCCCAAAAAUGCUACUAUGAAAGAAAAGCGACUGUAAAUUUGCCAUGUGUCCUUAUUUUGCUUGUUGUUUAGGCCCUUUUCAUGUAUUUCGAACCCAUUUGAGUGCCCAAACCUGGAAUACAGUAAUUAAAAGGAACAUCAUCCUUUGUGUACAUUGUUUUUCAUGAUUUGCUUACUGAUAUUCAGAAGAUCAAAGAAUCGAUGCACGGAGAGAGUCCUUGGGAAUAUAAGUUGUUGGUUUCCCAAAUCCCUACCGAAACCAAAAUAUCCAGCUAUUUCUUCUAAAGUGGGAGUAAGCUCAAAAUUUGAGAAGCAUAAGACAUUGUGAACGGGAUCCCAGAAGGUUACUAGGGCCUCAUUCAGAUCAUCUCGCGGUUUAACUUUCAUAAUAUCUGUAAGGGCUCCCAAAUGCUUCGUUACCCAAUCCUGACCAUCUUUCUCUAAGUCGUACCACCACAUCUGAAGUUGUAGUGGAGCAUGCUCUACAACCAUUAAUGGCGGGUUUUGGACAGUGCUCAUCUUGUACAUUUGGAUGGUUGGGGUUAGGGUUGACACUAGUUCUAAAGGACAAAUCAAUGGUAUCUUUUUGCAAAUCAACCUUUCAAUUUUCUAAGGCAAAACCAAAGGAAGGGCGUCUAUUUAUGCAAUAUUAGCCGCAAAGCAAAGAUGGCUAGUUUUGCAAUAAUGGACCCUUCACAUUUUGAAAGAAAGUAUGAGGCCGGGGAAGGGAACUUAUGACAAAAGUGAUGCCCAAUUGAUAGACAUGUCCAUUCUUACGAGAAUAGCCCUUCGACAAUUUCGGAGAUAUUCUAAGGCUAUUCCAAUAUAAACGGCUCAGGACGCAACCGAAGCUAGGUCAGCUUACUCAUUUGACCAAAACACUGCACACAUUUAUUAUUAUUUUUAUUUUUUUGCAAAAAUGAGGCCGAACCCUAUGGAGGUUGCCUACGUAUCUCACAUCCGGUGAGAAUCAGAACUGCGUAAUUCGGUCAGUUUUGACACAACAGGAAAGCACGCUUUUUGACUCAUUUUAAAAUGACUUUUCUAUUUAUUUUUUUCAAAAUUUUGGUAGUGUUUCAGGAUUUAUCAAAUACCAGAGUUUUUUAGAACCGGGUAAAUUUUCUUUCUCCUAUCUCAUUCUUGUUUUUUCUCCUUAUAUUCUUUCCCUAGCCGAUCAACAUGUAAGUCGAAACAAUUAAUGCACAAAUAACUCGUAGGAUGCAUCAGGACAGUCUUUUAUUUUGGGUACACCUGUCCUAGAUGAACCCAACCCCUGUGUUGAGUCCCCAAAGUCAAAUGCACGUGAUGCAAACAAAUGUUCGUCUUAGGGAUCCGGUAUUAGGCUAUGUUAUUCUAGGUUUAAAAUCCUGCAGGUGUAUUUUAGACAUGGCUUAGCCAAGCAGACAACUUGAACCGACGUGGGGGCAAUGUACCGGGAGCACGAAAGUUUGUCCGGCCUAGUUGCUGAUCCAGCCUCGUUCUAUUUGGUAUGACUUCUAGCAGAAAAGUGGGCCACGUGUACGUUUGCACCAUAGUUUAGAAGACUUAGAAGUUAGAAGGGAAGCGUAAGAAGACAGUUUAAUACAGUUCAAAUAAUAUCAAAGCGAUAAAUGAGCAGUAAUUAGCACAUUAGGCCCACAAAUACAAUAAUAUCAACAAUCAAUAAAUCCAAGUAUAGAUCACAUUAACAAGCUCGAAUUCUGAACUCUAAACCAGAGAUUCUGGGUUCGAUCCCCAGCAGUGUCGCCAGAGCUGUCAUACCUCCUUUUUCCGAAGAAUAUGGAGUUUUUCCAAUUAAGGUGACAUUAUUCAAAAUGGGAUUAUUUAUUUAAUUAGAGUCACCACUUGAAAUAUUUAUUAUGGUCCCAAAUCACCGGUUUAUUUUAAAAUCUCAAAUCGAGGAAAUUUACUCUAUUUUAAAGUCCACGAAACACAGAAGACCAGGUAAAGAAUUCUAUUUAUUCGGGAAAAGGUAUUAAGCAUUUUCGGAUUGCGUGGUUUUAGAAUGGUCCCUUUAAUCAUACCUGGCUUAAUUAAUUGCUAAUUACGUAUUUUAGAACCUAUGCGCAUUUUACCUUUUAUCGCUUUUAAUUAAGGCGCUAUGAAUUUAUCUUUGAAACGGAUCACAUGUGCGUAAAUCCGUUUUGUUUAUCGGGACAAAAUCAUGUCGCGCGUACAUGUACACAAUUAAAUAUCACUUUAUUAAUUAUUAAGAUUGUUUGGCCAAAGUCGUGUGAACGCAUACUUUGAUUUGUUUUGAGGAUUGUAGUUAUGUCACGCGAAUGUGUACAUAAUCACGAUAGAAGAUUUAGAACGCGCCUAAAGCUUCUUAUGCAUAUUCAAGACUUGUUUGUUCUAAACUAAAUUUGUAAUUGAUGUAGAAGUUCUAAUCGUACAAAGUUGGGAUGGAAGGGAUAUCGACACAACCCCCAAAAGUAGAUUUAUGCUAGUACUACAACUUCUGGUGUACGGGAAAAUUGUUUUGUUAAAAGGUUGGAUCUAAAAUCUUAUCUAAAUUUAUAAGAACCAUCUAAAAUUAUCAACUGCAAUUAAGUUGGGUACUGGAACACUUUCUAGAAAGAAAAUCCUCUUGCUUUGAUUUUUAUUGUUGAUAAGGUUGAAUAAUGGUGUUACGAGCCAUGUUAGAUUGAAAAUCCACAUUGGACCUUUAGCGGAUCAAGUAUGAAACGCAGAUGUGCUUGAGCUGAAGCCCAAAGCAUGAGAAAGCGGAUUGGCAAAUCUCACUGUGCCUAACACAUCUAAUUGGAAGUGGAAUGAAGAUAAUGCGCUUUACUCUCAUUUCUAAGAUAGCAUGACAACUUGUGUAUAAACUGCUAAAUGUGCUCAGAAGGACUGGGCCCAAUAGUGAGUGAGUCUAAAUGACUCCAAACCCAUGCACAUAUGGAAAGUUAACUUUACCCUAACCAUUUUGAGAUAAGAUUAUGGGCUUCCAAAUGAGCCCAGCACACACAAUUUCAGCAAAUUACAUUUGUAGCACUGUAAACAAAUAACUUAAUUUAAUAGAGGAAUUUUAAACUAAUAGCUACAUAUUCAUAUGAAUCAAUGAUUGGAGACAAUAUUAAUAUCCCUUUCCCGUGAUGAUUAUCAUAACAGAAUCAAGUAUAGUGGAACUAAGAAGGAACAACGAAACAGUAGUAAAAAUGAAUUAUUACAACACUGUUCAUUCUAAUAAAAUCAAUAUACAACUUCUUUUACAGCUCAAUCUGACUGUACUUAAUUACUCCAAACUCAAAAACUCCUAGGUGCAAUAUCAACAAUUAUCAUGAAAGGUAUUUUGUAUCAGAAAUGAGCAGAUUAUUGCAACUUCAGCAUGUUAUAUGGCAUUUUAGGCAUACAAUGAGGAGGAAAUUUAAGGAAUAACACAGUAUAUUCAACUUAUCACUCAAAACUAGAUUCCAAACAAUAAUCAAAUAAACACAACUUGAGGGGUAUCAAAUAAAUUAGCAAUGAUCAAAUAAACACAACUUACAGCAGAGUAGACAAAAAGAAAACAAAUCUCUGAAGUUGGGAAGGAGCAACAGCAAGAACAAACACAGCAGCAGAAAACAUCACACAAUAGCUUUAAACCUUACUCCCAAAAAAUCCAAAAAUAAAUCAGAACCAAUGGAACAGUGUUGAUAAAUUCUGAUUCCUACUUUUAGAAUGUUUUUUGUGAAAAGAAAUGAGUGAGGGUGAGUGUUGAUUCUCUGAAAAAUGCCAAAAUUCGUGUGUGUGUGUUAUGCAGAGAAUCAACGAAUAUAUAGGAGAAUGUCAACGGUAAAAAUGGAACAAAAAAUAUCUUUUUCAACCAAUUUUUGUAAAGUUAUCCCUUUUCAGUUAUUCUUUUUUCCUUUUUAAACCUUUGUAUUUUCUAUAUUCACUCCUCAGCCCUAACACCUGGCUACUUUGUUUUUUAUUUUUAUUUUUUUGCAAAUUAGCCCCUCCUAGAAGCUUCCUAGAUAACUAAACAAGAUUCCCUAUUUUUGGCAUACCCUUUAGCCCCCUCAAUUUCCUGUAUUUACUAUUUAUUUGAGAUUUAAAAUCUAAAAGCAGACUAACACUUAGAUCUUAGUUACAAUGGAUAGAUGUUAAACAUGACUUAUUAAGAAAUGACUAAUUAAUUAAGACAGAACAUUGACAUUUAAUUAAUUUGUAAGAAAACAAAAUGCGAUUUAAACUAUCAAUUUUGCCUAAACAUCAUGAUUAAGUAUUAAAAUAAAUCACUACUAACCUACCUCUAAACAAAUUUGAGUUUUGACCAAAUGAAAUUCAAAAAACAAAUAUAACUUGCCAAGAUUAACAGUUUAAAUCAAACAACCAAAUAAGUUCAGUCAAAGAAAUUAAUCCUAAGUAUAACCUAAACUAAGUGACAGAAUCAUAAAAAAUAAAAACUUUUAACCUAAUGCAAAUAUCUCAAAGGUGAGGAGCGGAUGAAAAGAGAUUACCUAUUGAAACUCUAUUGACAUGACAGAGAAAACCUCCGAGAAAAAUUGGCUGGCCAACAGCCAGCUGACCAAAACAUGACUUCUGAGAAACGGGAUGAAUCCCACAUCAGUGGAAAACUCGUGUCAAGAUCUUUCUACUGAUGUGAGUCUCAACUGCAAAAGAGGACGGAUUGGUCGAGGUUAUGAAGACAGAUUGCAUGGCGGCUAGGAUUUGGUUUUAAAUUUUGAAAUUUGAGAGAUUCAGUGAGUUUUUAGCAGAAAUUAAAAGCGGGAUAGUCAUGGGGAGAUUGUGGAGAUUGUAUGGUGAGAGUUCGGGUGGAUUUGGGGUUGCGCUGUCGGCAAGGGUGGCUUAUGGUGGUGGUAGGCGUUUAGGGUAUGAAAGUAUUUGAGAGAAGAUGAAAUGAAG
This 22961-nucleotide long non-coding RNA is filed under the name Nicotiana tabacum (common tobacco). RNAcentral describes it as "long non-coding RNA (NTAB_LNC002129)". The record is from RNAcentral. Lineage: Eukaryota; Viridiplantae; Streptophyta; Magnoliopsida; Solanales; Solanaceae.